UUGUUCAUUGUUAGUUCAUAUUAGCUAAGGCAUUACCAAAUGUUAAGGAAUAAACUAUUGUAGUAAAGUAUUACUAAAUUUUCUUUUUCCAUUUCCUUUACAAUGUCUACUUAUUUCUAUGGCUAACAGAUUUUGUAACAUUUGUAUUUUUUACAGUCUUACCAUUGCUUGUAAGCUGGAUUGGGUAAGAUGGAUCAUCUUUAAAGGAACCAGGCAAGUACAUGAUGUACAGUUACAAGUCAUGUAUUUUUUUGACUGCAAUAUUAAAUGCUUUCACGUCACAUGUAAAAGUACACAGGAAUGUGGCUAAUCACUUUUUAUUUGUAGUUUACCUGAGUGUCCUUGCACUUUUCAGGAGUUAAGGCAGAUGUGGAGGCACAACGGGUGACACCAGACACACCCAAGCACAUUAUGUUCGGACAUUCAAUCAUGACAUGAUCCAUGUGGAUGCUGUCCAUUGAGGAAAGAGUUUGUUCCGAGGUUUCUGGAUAGAAUUAAUUCCAAAGAUGGGAAAAAGUGCACAUCCAGACAAGGAGCAAGCAAAAAGACAAGGAACUUGGUGCAGAGAAAAGCUGUGGCCAUUAACCCCCAUGUGAACAGCUUCAUGCAGUCCCUGAUUGAGUUCGAAUGGACGACUUCAAAGUAAAGGCCACUGUGGUCUGUCUGCCACAGUUUAAUUUUUAAUUUAUUUUUAGUGUUCAAUGAAAUUCAAGUAGAAUAUUUAAAACUAUGGGCCAGUGUCCUUUUUACCACAGUGAAAUGUUACCUUUUAGUCGAUGAUGGACUUUAAACUGAAAACUUCAAACUAUGGACCUGU
Non-coding RNA from Paramisgurnus dabryanus, 817 nucleotides. The record is from RefSeq and is a predicted model, not a curated record. Lineage: Eukaryota; Metazoa; Chordata; Actinopteri; Cypriniformes; Cobitidae.